AGGAGAGAAGAGGAGUAGCCAGAGGCGGAGGGGCGGUGUCGGGAAGGAGGAGCGCGGCAGGAAAUAAGGGAAGGAGCUAGAGGCGGGCUGGGGGCCGGGGUCUGGAAGGAGGAUCGCGGUAGGGAAGAAGAGGAGCCAGAGGAGGGGGAUGGGGGCUGCAAAGGAGGAACGCGAUAGGGAAAAGGGGGAGGAGCCAGAGGCGAGGGGGCGGGGAGAAGAAACAUGGCAGGAGAAAGGGGAGGAGCCAGAGGCGAAGAGACAGGAAGAGGGACGCGUCAGGGAGAAGGGGAGGAGUCAGAGGCGAGCGGGCGUGGAGGAGGGAAGCGGCAGGGAGAAGGGGCGGGGCCAGAGGCGAAGGGGCGGGGAGGAGGGACGCGGCAGGGAGAAGGGGAGGAGCCAGAGGCGGAGGCUGUUACCAACUGGCUACCUAGAUCCAAGUGAAUCAGGACACUAACUUCUCUCCAAGAUCUUUUACACUUGUGAAACGGCACAGCUCUCUAAACCAAACACUGACAGCAGUUUAAUUUUACAGAUAUAAAAAAAAUCCGAGUCAGAGAAAUCAUCACGAUGAAGUCAGAGGCGAGAAACUGUCAGUGUAUACAGAGUCUUGCUCUGUCGCCCAGGUUGAAGUGCAGUGGUUCGAUCUCGGCUCAAUGCAACCUCUACCUCCCUGGCUCCCGCGAUUCUCCUGCCUCAGCCUCCUGAGUAGCUGAGAUUACAGGCGCCCGCCACCACCCCCGGCUAAUUUUGGUAUUUUUAGUAGAGAUGGGGUUUCACCAUGUUGGCCAGGCUGAUCUGGAACUCCUAGCCUCAAGCAAUCCGCCUUCAAAAGUGUUGGGGAUUACAGGAGUGAGCCACCGCGCCCGGCCUAUCAAUGAAUAAGAAAACUUUUAAAGAACCACAGGAUAGUAUUGGAGGUCAAGUCAAGUAUGUUCCUCUUGGAAAUUUAGUAACAAACUACAUGUUGCUAUCUCAUAAUAGCAGCUAACAUUUAUGAAGUAUUCAUUGUCAUGAGGCACCGUACAUAGAUUUCUAAUUUAAUCCUUACAACGAUUUUAUUAGGGAGAAACUGCUAUUAGACCCAUUUUGUAAAUGAGAAAACUAAGGCACACAAAGUUUAAUGAGGGAACCAGGAUUAAACCUAAGCAAUCUAACUCCAGGUCCCAGAUUUUUUAACCAUUACAGUACUGUUUAAUUUGAUUUGAUAUGUUAAAAGGAUUAAUAAAAUUAAUACAGGUCCAUUCCCUUAUUCAUAAAUGUUCAUUGUCUUCAUUUAUUUCUUUAUACUGUUCUGCUGAAAUUGCACUCUCAUCUCCCCAAUAACUUUGUAAUAUCCAAUGCCAUUUUUUUCAGUCAUCCCAUUUUAAAAUAUAUUUUUACUAGAAUAGUGAAAUAUAUAUUCAGAUAAAAUUGGCUUUGUUUUAAUAAUGAUCAGUAAAAGUAAAUUCAUUUUAAUCAUUUCCACACAUUCAUGAAAAGUAAAGGGGAAAAAUGGGCAUAGAGGUAACCACUAGAAUUAGGCUUUCUUGGAUGGGUAGACCAGGUGUGGAGGUGUGCAGAUAAGAUUUUACAAACACUCAUACACUCCCAUCUCCAAAAUCAUAAUUUAUCUUACAUUCUGCUACUAAUAAACAUUCCACUGGUUUUAAACAUUCACUUUGCUGGGUCUCCUCUUUAAAAUUUGUCAUUCACUGUUCUCAAUGUUAGAGACGGUAUGCAAACAGUAGGUUUAGGAAUAGAGUCAGGAGAUGGGGGAAGAAAAACUGGUAGGAGAGAACUUAAGUGUCUCACAGUGUUAAAUGUGACUUGAUAGCCACUAUUCAUUUUUUUUUGUAGUUUGCUGUGAGGAUGACUUUAUACAAUUUAAUCUUAAAUAGGAACCUAACUUAGUUAGGCUUCCUUGGGUAGUCUGUGGAGCAUGGAAAAGUUAUUAGCAUGUCAAAAUCCUGUCCACGCACACAUACACGCACAUACACACAAAUGUAGUUUGGUUACAUAAUAAAUUUAU
RNAcentral lists this long non-coding RNA (2008 nucleotides) under Homo sapiens (human). RNAcentral describes it as "HSALNT0343084". The record is from RNAcentral. Lineage: Eukaryota; Metazoa; Chordata; Mammalia; Primates; Hominidae.